UUGGUCCUUCAUUUAAAUUUAAUAACGAAAUAACUUAAUUAAAUUUAAAAAAAAAACAAAUUAAAAUCGAAUAAAAAAUAAUAGAUAAUUCUAAAUAACUCUUCCAAUUAUUUUGGCAAAAAAAAUGAAAACAUUCAAACAAAAAUUGAAUAAAUAAAUAAAAAAUCGGGCGCAAAAUUGCCCCAAUAAAUAAAUAAAUAAAAUGAACGUAUUAAAAUGACCAAUACAAAAUAAACAUCUCAGAAACAUACAGGUUUCGAUCAAACUUUGAAAAUAAAAUAAAUAAAAAAGACUGGUUGAAAGGCUCGGACA
This 312-nucleotide long non-coding RNA is filed under the name Lathyrus oleraceus (garden pea). RNAcentral's name for it is "Pisum sativum (pea) long non-coding RNA (PSAT_LNC011297)". The record is from RNAcentral. Lineage: Eukaryota; Viridiplantae; Streptophyta; Magnoliopsida; Fabales; Fabaceae.